RNAcentral lists this ribosomal RNA (310 nucleotides) under uncultured eukaryote. Its description in RNAcentral is "partial 18S ribosomal RNA". It matches the Rfam family "Eukaryotic small subunit ribosomal RNA", at positions 1470 to 1796 of the family's 1831-position model. The record is from RNAcentral.
CCCUUAGAUGUUCUGGGCGGCCCGCGCACUACAAUGGCGCUUUCAGCGAGUUCCUAUGUUGAAUUUUCCUGGGUAUUCUUGGAAGCGGCGUCUUGACUUGGGAUAGAUCCUUGUAAUUGUUGGUUUUGAACGAGGAAUUCCUUGUAAUCGCGGUUGAUCAGCUCGCGUUGAAUACGUCCCUGCCCUUUGUACACACCACCCGUCGCUCCUACCGAUGAAUCGUCCGGUGAAGUUCACAGAGUGGCGGUUCGUGGAGUUGCUCGCGAAGUGAAAUGGACCUCACGAUUUAGAGGAAGGAGAAGUCGUAACA